Molecule: long non-coding RNA, 1023 nt
Filed under: Anser brachyrhynchus (Pink-footed goose)
Lineage: Eukaryota; Metazoa; Chordata; Aves; Anseriformes; Anatidae
Description: lncRNA (ENSABRG00000012014.1)
Source: RNAcentral
GUUGAUACAAAAAAGCACAAAUUCAUUUCUGCACAGAUUGGAGAGGGGCCUACUCAUAUCAAUGGAUUUCUUUCUGUUGGAGGGUUUGUACCAGCUCUGCCUGAAGUCAGUUUCAGUUUCUGCUGACGUUGACAGGGAAUAGGCUGAGCAGCAAUGUCUCUUGUUUCUGCAUUCCAGAAAAAGCUAAUUUCCAAUAUAGAACUGACCCGAUAUUACUAUAUAAUAAUGAUUUUCAUGUCAUAUUCCUGUUACAAGAAGUGAUGCUUGUAAUUUUCAGAAAUCACAACCAUCUCACUUAAAACUACAAUUUUAGUUCCACCAAGUGAAUGCUCUGACAGACAUCUUUAUUUUUCUAAUUAUACCCUCUCUGCAUGAGGCUUAGCUAUAAUUAUAGGAAAUUAGGGAACGACUCUGCUGUGGAAGCGUAAUAACAACUUCUGUUACUAUUUUUAGGAUCUGUUAUGAAAAUGUAGAUAUGAAUGUUUGACUUCCAAGUCUCACAUUUAUCAGGUCUUUAUAUGCUGGGAAACCUGGUUGACAGAGGCAGCCAAACUCUUUUUAGUUAGGUAGGCCAACUUGAGUUUCCUACCCAGAGAAUGCUGGAGGCUUCCAAGUUUGUUUGUUUGUUUGUUUGUUUAUUUAACACUAACAACAAUAACAGCAACAAAAAAAAAGGUCAGCAGAAGAGGAAAAAGGGAAGGAGGGCUGAGAGCAGGGAAGUGGGGUUUGGGAUGAAAGCUGAGAAAAAAAACACUAAUUAAAAUAGGAAGCUGAGAGAGGGAAAGAACAUUUUGGGAGGGCUGUAAGAGGAGAAUGAGACAAGUAAUAGUAGAGUCCAUUUUGGAUGAAGACAAAGUUAUCUUUCUUUUUGUUCCCCUCUUUUCUCUCCUUUCAUUCAGCCUCCCCUGUGCCCUGAGAGACCCUGGCGCUACCUGCCUACCCCUGCAGCUGCCUAGUGCCAAGCAACUGUCACCACCCCUGAUUUCUCCUGUUCUCUCUGGGUUUGGUACGAUGUCUGCCUGA